Molecule: non-coding RNA, 1992 nt
Organism: Lolium perenne
Lineage: Eukaryota; Viridiplantae; Streptophyta; Magnoliopsida; Poales; Poaceae
Source: RefSeq, a predicted model, not a curated record
UCGGCACCGCGAGUCAGAAUCAAGGCGCCGUUCAACCUAUUUAGCUCAAAUAGUCUUUGAUUUCUAAAAGCAUGAGUGUAUGCUAACAAUUCAAUCAGAAAGUGAGGAUACAACCCCAAAACUCAACCAAAAGCUUUUCAGUUACUAAUAUAUCUUUCAUAUCUUGGAUUUAUAAUGUGAAUUACAUUACAACUAUGUUCUCUUUUGCACAACGGAUUUAUGUAACACUCCACAUAAUCAAAUAUCGAUUUUCUUAGGUUUUGUUGGAAUCACUUAGCAAUAUAUUGUGUAUGACUGGUGUAGAAUAAUGUCAAGCCAAUAUAGUCCCGGGAAAACUAUAAAAUGACAUCAACCACUUAGUCUAUAUGUAGCUAAUUAAUUGAUUUAAUGAGAAAUCAUUAUUGUGCAUUCGGAUAGAGAUGAUCCAAAAAAAAUGAGUUUAAGAAAUUAGUGUUCAUAAUUUAAGUGCUCUGAAUAAAAAAGAUCUAAAAGGAUAACAUUGAUAGCACACUGAAAUAAAAGAAAGACAUGAAGGAGGUGAUAUUUGCAUACAUGUAAUAAUAUGUCAAGUACUAUUUGCACUGUGAUAUGGACACGUAAUUUUUUAUGGUGCUACAUAAUAAAUAUAUCAUUAAUGAUAGAUCCAAGGUGUCUAGUGCCUUCAAACAAACAACCACCAUGAGAGAGCAUAGCAAUAGCACUAAAACAAUUGUAUUUAUUCAUUUUCUUGGCAUAAAAAAGAUUGGAUACCAUUGAAUACAAAUCAAUUAAUGCGGCAUCCAUUGAGAAAAUAAUGAUGCAAUUGAAUGCACAAUCAUUAAUUAAUGUGUCCAUAUUUGUAUGGUGACAUCAAAUUAUGAUACUACCAAUAAAUACAUAUAUAUAUCCAAAUAAUUAAUCUCCCUUGCCGGCCUCUAUAUAAAGAGAACAGAGGAGCGGGUAUGUUCAACAAGAUACCAGCAAGGCAAUACAAGAACAUCGAGAGAUAGUUCCCUUCUCGCUGAAAACAUAAAGAAAAGUAAAGAGUAGAAAGAUAGCUGAUAUUCAGAUGGCAGUUGUGAUCAACCGGCGCGACGUGAGGGCCAUGUACUCAUUGGCUCUUGUCAUCAUGGCUCUAACCGUCAUGUCUUCUGUUUCAAUAAUGUACUGUCAAGCGGUAAGAACUUCUUGUUACCAGCUAACUCCGUUGACACAAUAAUGCAUUAUGGUUAUCAAGAGUACUAAUGUGGUAGUAACCUGGUCGUUUACAACAUGUGCAGCCGAGGUGAUGGAGAAGGAUCGUCACUGUUUCAGCUAUGAUCUCUGCGACGAUAAACCGUGCCAACAGGCGUGCAGGAAAAUGGGGUACCAAAACUGGGAGGACGCCUCCUGCAGCGAUAUAUUGUUCUGCUGCUGCGCAAAAGAAUGAUGGGGGUCCUUCUUUUUUAUGAAACGUUGCCCAAUGUUUAUGUGUGCAAUUUAUUAUGAAAUGAAACAAGGGAGAGAGUGAAGUUAUUGGACUUCAUCUUCACAGCUGAGGGCGACAUUUUGUUCUGUUUUCACUGAUGAGAUAGUUCUCAUUGCUUUUCAUCACGCACCGCGCUGCGGUGCUGCGUCUCUCGUUGCACAUAUUGCAUGCAUCCCUUACCGGCGGCGAAUCAGGGAGGGAAGGGAUCGUUGUCUGUGAUACAAUUCACGACUGGGCAAUUCACCCCUCAGCAAUAAGGGCUCCUUCCCCACACCAGUGAUCACAUUAAAAUUCUACAAGCUUGGGAUCUACUAGACCAACGUUGGACAAUAUGAUUGAAACAAAGGCGACAGUUACCUGCGGCUGGCUUCACAGAGUCAGUAGGUAAGUAUACAAUGGGGUUGGUGCCAUGAGUCAGAAUCAAGGCACCGUUCAACCGUUUAGCUCAAAUGGUCUUUGAUUUCUAAAAGCAUGAAUGUAUGCUGACAAUUUAAUCAGAAAGUGAGGACAUAACACCAAAACUCAAGGAAAAGAUUUUCAGUUCA